AUUGAGAGUUUGAUCCUAGCUCAGGAUGAACGUUGGCGGCGUGUCUAAGGCAUGCAAGUCGAGGGAUCGGCCUUUUUUUCUUCGGAAUUUGAGGUACGGACCGGCAAACGGGUGAGUAACACACUGGUAACCUACCUGCGAGUCGAGCAUAGCCCAGAGAAAUCUGGAUUAAUACUCGAUGGUCAUGGGGGGACAUAUGUCAUUCCCAUGUAAAGAUUUUUCGCUCGCAGAGGGGCCUAUGGCUGAUUAGCUUGUUGGUAGGGUAAUGGCCUACCAAGGCAUUGAUCAGUAGCAGGCGUGAGAGCGUGACCUGCCUCACUGGGACUGAGACACGGCCCAGACUCCUACGGGAGGCUGCAGUCAAGAAUAUUCCACAAUGCACGAAAGUGUGAUGGAGCGACGCCGCGUGCAGGAAGACGCCCUUCGGGGUGUAAACUGCUUUUCUUAGGGAAGAAUUCGUGACGGUACCUAAGGAAUAAGUGGGUGCUAACUCUGUGCCAGCAGCAGCGGUAAUACAGAGCCCACAAACGUUAUCCGGAUUCAUUGGGCGUAAAGCGUCCGCAGGUGGUUUUGUAAGUCAGUUGUCAAAUCCUGGGGCUUAACCUCAGGACUGCGAUUGAUACUGCGAAGCUAGAGGCCGGGAGAGGCAAGCGGAACUAUCGGUGUAGUCGUAAUAAGCGCUGAUAUCGAUAGGAACACCAAAGGCGAAGGCAGCUUGCUAGAACGUGCCUGACACUCAUGGACGAAAGCGUGGGGAGCGAAUGGGAUUAGAUACCCCAGUAGUCCACGCCCUAAACGAUGCAUACUAGGUAUUGGGAGUAUCGACCCUCUCAGUGCCGUUGAAAAAAGCUAACGCGUUAAGUAUGCCGCCUGGGAAGUACGGCCGCAAGGCUAAAACUCAAAGGAAUAGACGGGGACCCGCACAAGCGGUGGAUCAUGCGGUUUAAUUCGAUGAUACGCGGCAAACCUUACCUGGGCUUGACAUGUAGCUGCAAGCUCUCUGAAAAGAGAGCCGCCUUCGAGGGUGCUACACAGGUGUUGCAUGGUUGCCGUCAGCUCGUGCCGUGAGGUGUACCGUUAAGUCGGGUAACGAGCGCAACCCUCGUGCUGUGUUAAAUGUACAUAGCAGACUGCCGGUGCAAACCGGAGGAAGGUGGGGACGACGUCAAAUCAGCAUGGCUCUUACGCCCAGGGCUACACGCAUGAUACAAUGGCCGGAAACAAUGGGUAGCCAAACCGCGAGGUGGAGCUAAUCCUCAAAACCGGUCCCAGUUCGGAUUGAAGGCUGCAAUUCGCCUUCAUGAAGUUGGAAUCGCUAGUAAACGCGCAUCAGCCACGGCGCGUUGAAUACGUUCUCGGGUCUUGUACUCACCGCCCGUCACACCACGAAAGCUGGGGGCACCCGAAGGCUCACUUAUGUGGGACGAAGGUGAAUUCAGUGAUUGGGGUGAAGUCGUAACAAGGCAUCCGUAGCGGAAGCUGUGGAUGGAUCACCUCCUUUCUGGAGU
Molecule: ribosomal RNA, 1508 nt
Filed under: Candidatus Magasanikbacteria bacterium CG11_big_fil_rev_8_21_14_0_20_39_34
Lineage: Bacteria; Candidatus Magasanikiibacteriota
Description: bacterial SSU rRNA
Rfam family: Bacterial small subunit ribosomal RNA
Source: RNAcentral